Molecule: ribosomal RNA, 552 nt
Filed under: uncultured eukaryote
Lineage: Eukaryota
Description: bacterial SSU rRNA
Rfam family: Eukaryotic small subunit ribosomal RNA
Source: RNAcentral
CUGGUUGAUCCUGCCAGGUGUCGUAUGCUUGUCUCAAAGAUUAAGCCAUGCAUGUAUCAGCACAACCCUUACGGGAAAGCCGCGAAUAGCUCAUUACAACAGUCGCAGUUUACAAGAGAGUUACACAGUGGAUAACUGUGGUAAUUCUAGAGCUAAUACAUAUGACAAACCCUGACUAACGCAAGGGUGAAUUUAUUAGAACAAAGCCAAUCAGACUUCUGUCUGUCUCAGGUUGACUCUGAAUAACUUUUCUAAUCGCAUGGUCUUUGUACCGGCGAUGUAUCUUUCAAAUGUCUGCCUUAUCAACUGUUGAUGGUAGAUUAUGCGCCUACCAUGGUUGUAACGGGUAACGGAGAAUCAGGGUUUGAUUCCGGAGAGGGAGCCUGAGAAACAGCUACCACAUCCAAGGAAGGCAGCAGGCACGCAAAUUACCCACUCCCGGCACGGGGAGGUAGUGACGAAAAAUAACGAGACGGUGUUCUAUGAAUGUCGUCAUCGGAAUGAGUACAACGCAAAUACUUUAACGAGUAUCUAUUGGAGGGCAAGUCUGGU